AUAUUUUCCAGAAAAUCAGUUCGAGGAAAGGGAAAGGGUCAAAAACGAAAGCGCAAGAAAUCCCGGUUUAAAUCCUGGAGCGUUCACUGUGAGCCUUGUUCAGAGCGGAGAAAGCAUUUGUUUGUCCAAGAUCCGCAGACGUGUAAAUGUUCCUGCAAAAACACAGACUCGCGUUGCAAGGCGAGGCAGCUUGAGUUAAACGAACGUACUUGCAGAUGUGACAAGCCAAGGCGGUGAGCCAGGCUGCAGGAAGGAGCCUCCCUCAGGGUUUCGGGAACUAGACCUCUCACCGGAAAGACCGAUUAACCAUGUCACCACCACACCACCAUCGUCACCGUCGACAGAACAGUCCUUAAUCCAGAAAGCCUGACAUGAAGGGAGAGGAGACUCUUCGAGGAGCACUUUGGGUCCGGAGGGCGAGACUCCGGCAGACGCAUUCCCGGGCAGGUGACCAAGCACGGUGGUCCCUCGUGGAACUGGAUUCGCCAUUUUCUUAUAUUUGCUGCUAAAUCGCCAAGCCCGGAAGAUUAGGGAGUUUUGUUUCUGGGAUUCCUGUAGACACACCCACCCACAUACACACACAUAUAUAUAUAUAUAUUAUAUAUAUAAAUAAAUAUAUAUGUUUUAUAUAUAAAAUAUAUAUAUAUUCUUUUUUUUUUUAAAUUAACUCUGCUAAUGUUAUUGGUGUCUUCACUGGAUAUGUUUGACUGCUGUGGACUUGAGUUGGGAGGAGGAUGUCCUCACUUGGAUCCCGACAGGGAAGACAAUGGGAUGAAAGACUCCGGUGUGGUCUUUCGUCCUUCUUAGAGAGGCCGAAGUCUGUUUGCCUGCCAGGGAGCACGCAAGGCCAGGGCACGGGGGCACGUUGGCUCACUUCCAGAAACACGACAAACCCAUCCCUGGCCCUGAGUCAAGAGGACAGAGAGACAGAUGACAGAUAAAGAGAUAAAGAUUCUGGUUCCGACCAGACGUUUUUGGGGAGCCUCAGGACAUGGCACUAUUGUGGAUCCCCACUAGAUUCUGCAAGAGCACCCUGCCCCUCUGGGCACUGCCUGGAAGAAUCAGGAGCCUGGCCAUCAAGCUCUCUCCUCCACUUCUGAGGAGCCUAGGAGGCCUCCCACAGGGGUCCUGGCAAAGAGAAGACACAGUGGUGGAAGAAGAGGCCUGGUAAUGGCUCCUCCUCCUCCUCCUGGGAACCCCUCGUCCUCUCCCUACCCCACUUCCUGGGUAUAGCUCAGGAGGACCUUGUGUGAUCAGACCAUUGAAACCACUAAUUCUGUCCCCAGGAGACUUGGCUGUGUGUGUGAGUGGCUUACCCUUCCCCAUUUUCCCU
Molecule: long non-coding RNA, 1333 nt
Filed under: Rattus norvegicus (Norway rat)
Lineage: Eukaryota; Metazoa; Chordata; Mammalia; Rodentia; Muridae
Description: long non-coding RNA NONRATT029217
Source: RNAcentral